RNAcentral lists this ribosomal RNA (492 nucleotides) under uncultured bacterium. Its description in RNAcentral is "partial 16S ribosomal RNA". It matches the Rfam family "Bacterial small subunit ribosomal RNA", at positions 29 to 507 of the family's 1533-position model. The record is from RNAcentral.
AGUGAACGCUGGCGGUAGGCCUAACACAUGCAAGUCGAACGGCAGCACAGUAAGAGCUUGCUCUUACGGGUGGCGAGUGGCGGACGGGUGAGGAAUACAUCGGAAUCUACUUUUUCGUGGGGGAUAACGUAGGGAAACUUACGCUAAUACCGCAUACGACCUACGGGUGAAAGCAGGGGAUCUUCGGACCUUGCGCGAUUGAAUGAGCCGAUGUCGGAUUAGCUAGUUGGCGGGGUAAAGGCCCACCAAGGCGACGAUCCGUAGCUGGUCUGAGAGGAUGACCAGCCACACUGGACUCGAGACACCGCCCAGACUCCGACGAGAGGCACCCUAGGCAAAUAUUUGACAUUGGGCGCAAUCCUGAUCCAGCCAUACCGCUUCGGUGUCGGAGGCGUUCGAGUUGUUAAGCCCUUGUGGUGGGAAAGAAAAGCAGCUGGUUAUAGCGCCUCUGUUCUGACGGUACCCAAAGAAUAGUCACCGGCUAGCUACGUG